AUGAACAUAAUGAGAAAAAAAGUUUUAUUCUUACUGAGUUCAGCCAGUGUUAAACCCUUCCUAAACCAUUGUAUUGCUCUACAGGUGUUGUGGUUUCUACAGGCACGUGGCUAUAACCAUAGGUAUUUGAGGUCUGUUACCCAUCUUGACAUCACUGCUGCAGCUGUUGACUCCUCCCACCCACCGCCUACCUCCCAUCCACACUGUGAUUAUUCUUGGCUGAACACUAAACAAACUACAGGCCCGUCUGUAGCAGUGAAAUCUAUCUGCAAGAGAUCCAUUUACUUUGAACAGUCAACCAUAAAUACAGC
RNAcentral lists this long non-coding RNA (311 nucleotides) under Macaca mulatta (Rhesus monkey). Its description in RNAcentral is "lncRNA (ENSMMUG00000055182.1)". Lineage: Eukaryota; Metazoa; Chordata; Mammalia; Primates; Cercopithecidae. The record is from RNAcentral.